AUUUUUAUAGAAGAGCUUUAAUAAUUCCAAAGAGAUUAUAUGAGAUAAUCUCCUUGAUAAUUUUAACCUUUGAGGAACAUUUCAAUCGUGUAUUAUUAUAACUUUUUUCGUUCAACUUUAAUUGAUGAAACAUAAUAAACAAAUAUAUACAGAGUGAUAUUUGAUACAACUAUCCUGUUAAUCAAACACAUUCUGAUAAGGUUAACCAGAUGUUGGACACAUUUCAAAGAUAGUUGCUAUGGUAAUUAAGAUUAUAGAAAAUCUAAAUGUAAUGGGAUGGUCAUUUUUGAGGUUAUUUCCUGUCGUCUAUUUGUAACUUCCGAAGGCAGUGAAAACAAAGAAAACUAAAAGAGAAAAUCACAGUUCAAAGAGAAAGAAACAUAUCUGGUAUUUGAGAACUACAGAAGACAAAUUAAAGCAGAGUGCAAAAGGAAUUUUAAUAAUCAUUGAAAAUAUUCUGGCUUCAAAAUGCAUGGAAAUGGAGAUGGGACAAAAUGCAUUCUACCAUUUGAUAGCCCAGAAUGAAUUACUUUAAAAGGCUAACAAGAAGAGGAGGCUCGCAGUAGAAGAUACAGACUCUGAAUAAUUAAUAAAAUGUUAAAAUGCUA
This is a long non-coding RNA of Mytilus californianus (California mussel), 608 nucleotides long. RefSeq lists it as uncharacterized. The transcript is spliced from 3 exons. The record is from RefSeq and is a predicted model, not a curated record. Lineage: Eukaryota; Metazoa; Mollusca; Bivalvia; Mytilida; Mytilidae.